This 863-nucleotide ribosomal RNA is filed under the name uncultured Chloroflexota bacterium. RNAcentral describes it as "bacterial SSU rRNA". It matches the Rfam family "Bacterial small subunit ribosomal RNA", at positions 28 to 896 of the family's 1533-position model. The record is from RNAcentral. Lineage: Bacteria; Bacillati; Chloroflexota.
GAUGAACGCAGGCGGCGUGCCUAACACAUGCAAGUCGAACGAACUGAUUCGCGAUUCUUCGGAUGAGCGGAGAGGUUAGUGGCGAACGGGUGAGUAACACGUAGGUGACCUGCCCCGAAGUGGAGGAUAACCACCCGAAAGGGUGGCUAAUACUCCAUGUGCUCCGUGGAGCUAGAAGCCACGGAGCAAAGCUCCGGCGCUUUGGGAGGGGCCUGCGGCCCAUCAGGUAGUUGGUAGGGUAACGGCCUACCAAGCCAAUGACGGGUAGCUGGUCUGAGAGGACGAUCAGCCACACUGGCACUGAGAUACGGGCCAGACUCCUACGGGAGGCAGCAGUGGGGAAUAUUGCGCAAUGGGCGAAAGCCUGACGCAGCGACGCCGCGUGGGUGAUGAAGGCCUUCGGGUCGUAAAACCCUUUUCUGGGGGACGAGGAAGGACGGUACCCCAGGAAUAAGUCUCGGCUAACUACGUGCCAGCAGCCGCGGUAAAACGUAGGAGGCAAGCGUUAUCCGGAUUUACUGGGCGUAAAGCGCGCGCAGGCGGCUCUGUAAGUCGGGCGUGAAAGCCCCCGGCUCAACUGGGGGAGGUCGUUCGAUACUGCAGGGCUUGAGGUCGGGAGAGGGAAGCGGAAUUCCCGGUGUAGUGGUGAAAUACGUAGAUAUCGGGAGGAACACCAGUGGCGAAGGCGGCUUCCUGGCCCGCACCUGACGCUAAGGCGCGAAAGCGUGGGGAGCGAACGGGAUUAGAUACCCCGGUAGUCCACGCUGUAAACGAUGGCAACUAGGUGUGGGGGGUCAUUGACCCCCUCAGUGCCGAAGCUAACGCGAUAAGUUGCCCGCCUGGGGACUACGAGCGCAAGCUUA